Molecule: long non-coding RNA, 1431 nt
Filed under: Oryctolagus cuniculus (rabbit)
Lineage: Eukaryota; Metazoa; Chordata; Mammalia; Lagomorpha; Leporidae
Description: lncRNA (ENSOCUG00000030527.1)
Source: RNAcentral
UUGAUACACCUGGUUAAGCUGCCACCUGGGCUGCCAGCAUCACGUGAGUUCCAAAUGCUCCACUUCUGACCCAGCUCCCCGCUAAUGUGUCUGGGAAAGCAGUGGCAGAUGGCCCAAGUCCUUAGGUCCCCGCCAUCCACGCGGGAGAUUCAAAUGGAGUUCCUGGCUCCUGGGUUCAGCUCACCUUAGCCCCAGCAGUUGCAGCCAUUCGGGGAGAGAACCAGCAAAUGGAAGAUUUUCUGUCUCUCUCUCUCUCUCUUUGUGUGGGUGUGUGUGUGUCUCCCUCUGUCUCUCUCUAUAUAUAACUCUGCCUUUCAAAUAAAUUAUAAAUAAAAUAUUAAAAAGUAAGAAUGAAUUUCAUUACUGAAAAGACCAAUAUUACAUUUUUAAGUGGGUGUACCCUGACAUAAACACAUAUAUUUCUAUCUCUAAUAUAUUGAAGAUGAUCUGAACUCUGGAUUAGUAUUUGACUGAGCCUCCAUAAUUGAAAGAUUUUAAUGCCUGCUAGACAAAACUUAUUUUUCUCUUUGAUACUGAGAUAAGGAACACACUAGCUUUCUCAGAGAACAGAAUUUAUUAAGUCAUUUAGAUCCAUCCAAUUUCCACAUAAGUUACAGUGCUUCUUGAGUAACAGCUUCCUCCCCACUGCACAGCCUCUCCUUCCGCCUCCCUCCCAAGGACUCCAAACUAAAAACAGAUUUUAAAACUACAGACCAAUGCUUCAGGAUGAGAUUUGUUUCUCAUGGCAUGUAAAUCGUCUAGCAAUCUGGGAAAUGGUGGUUCAUGAGAAGGAGAAUUGUUGUCCAAAGGCAUACAACUUUUUCAUGUUAAAACCGAAGCAGAGCAAUUAUUUUCUUCAUAAAACUACAAUUCAGUGACUUCUGACCUUUUCCUCAUCCUGUCUCUCCAAGCAUUUCUCAUUCCAAUAGUAAUAGCACUGGGGGUAAAAAAAAAAAUGACCCACAUUUACAAGAAUGUAGCUUCUGGCAAGCAUCAUUUUCAAGAAUUCACUUCCUGGCUCAUGGUUUACAUGACCUGUCUUCUCUUGCUUUUUUCUUUCCCUCCACCCUUGCCCCCUCCUCUUCCUUGCAAACUGAAUUUUAAACCAUCGCACUCACUGCCACUUCCUGCCUCCCUUGCUUUCUACUUUCAUAUCCAUGGGAAUGGAAUCUGCUUGCUGAGGCCAACAGCCCCCUACCCACUGUUCCUACUACUCCAGCCACCUUUGAUUCAGAGACCAGUGAGCAUAACCAACUGCUUCAGAAGAGAUGCCGUGAUGAUGCACGCUGUGCCCUGUGUGGAGUCACCGUGACACAUGCUGGAGAUCAUCACUGUGCUGAAAACCUACCAAAUUCCAUCCCAUUUGACUAUUCAAUGAGUGCCUACUCUGUACCUAAUAAAGGAAGGAUGGAACUUUGGUGGAAAGAGGUG